AUGGCAGACACAGGAAGAGUGGUAGUGUGUGAUAACAGGUGUGGCUGCACUGUUCCUUGUGCUGGUGGUUCCACUUGCAGGUGCACAAGUAGUGAGGGUGGUGCAAGAACUGACCACACAACAUGUCCAUGUGGAGAGCACUGUGAAUGUAAUCCAUGCAACUGCUCCAGGACUGUUGCUGCUGGAAGUGGUUGCAGAUGUGAUGCAAGCUGCACUUGUGCCUCUUGCCGCACUUGA
Non-coding RNA from Vicia faba (fava bean), 237 nucleotides. Lineage: Eukaryota; Viridiplantae; Streptophyta; Magnoliopsida; Fabales; Fabaceae. The record is from the annotation of a GenBank genome assembly.